This 429-nucleotide ribosomal RNA is filed under the name Chloroflexota bacterium. RNAcentral's name for it is "Chloroflexi bacterium partial 16S ribosomal RNA". It matches the Rfam family "Bacterial small subunit ribosomal RNA", at positions 355 to 776 of the family's 1533-position model. Lineage: Bacteria; Bacillati; Chloroflexota. The record is from RNAcentral.
UGGGGAAUAUUGCACAAUGGGCGCAAGCCUGAUGCAGCCAUGCCGCGUGUGUGAAGAAGGCCUUCGGGUUGUAAAGCACUUUCAGCGGGGAGGAAGGCGUUAAGGUUAAUAACCUUGGCGAUUGACGUUACCCGCAGAAGAAGCACCGGCUAACUCCGUGCCAGCAGCCGCGGUAAUACGGAGGGUGCAAGCGUUAAUCGGAAUUACUGGGCGUAAAGCGCACGCAGGCGGUCUGUCAAGUCGGAUGUGAAAUCCCCGGGCUCAACCUGGGAACUGCAUUCGAAACUGGCAGGCUAGAGUCUUGUAGAGGGGGGUAGAAUUCCAGGUGUAGCGGUGAAAUGCGUAGAGAUCUGGAGGAAUACCGGUGGCGAAGGCGGCCCCCUGGACAAAGUCUGACGCUCAGGUGCGAAAGCGUGGGGAGCAAACAGG